Long non-coding RNA from Hemibagrus wyckioides, 839 nucleotides. RefSeq lists it as uncharacterized. The transcript has 5 exons. The record is from RefSeq and is a predicted model, not a curated record. NCBI's taxonomy places the organism in Eukaryota, Metazoa, Chordata, Actinopteri, Siluriformes, Bagridae.
UACUUGUGUUCAGUUUAUUUGUGUUCUGUUUUACAUCACAUAUGUUUGUCUUUGAGGAUCAUUCAGUCAGAUCAUUUCUCUGAUGUUUUGAAGAUGUUUUCUUCCCUAUAUCUGGACAUCUGGACAUCAAUAUGACAAUGGAUUACUGGUUUGAAAACACGGAUGAAGAGAAAAUCAUCUUCAGUUCAGUCCAGGAUCUACUGUACAAGGUUCAAAAAAGGAAUUCAGGAAGGUUCCUAUUCAAUGUGAGGAAAAUCCAGAAGGCCAAAAUGGGGUUGUCAUAUUUGAGGACAGAUCAUACAGUCUAGCUCAGUCGGAUGUCUACGUCGUGGACCGUGGCCAUCAAAACUCAGUGUGUUUUGAACCACAGCAAAGUGAUACACUAUUGAGGGUUCCUAUUCAGUGUGAGGAAAAUCCAGAAGGUCAAAAUGGAUGCAUCAUAUUUGAGAACAGAUCAUACAGACUUAAUGUGUUGGAUAACUAUGAUGUGGAUCAUGGCUACCAAAACUCAGAACUGAGGCAUCCUGUUCAAUGUGAGAAAAAUCCAGAAGGUCAAAAUGGAUGGGUCAUAUUUGAGAGCAGAUCAUACAGACUUGACCGUGGCCAUGGAAGCUCAGAGCGUCUUGAAAUACAUCAUGAUAUGUCACUGAGGUGUUCGGAGGAUCAGCGUGUGCUGCAUGGAUCAGUUGAGCUGGACAACAUUUUUUACACUGUUGAUAUGCCUCGUUUAGAGGACAAUGAGCUAAUUCAUGAAGAUGAAGAUUUUUUUAAUGAUAAUCAGCGCUUUACAGAUUAAAUGCUUUACAUUGUUUACUUCUGUAUUAAAAUUUUUCAUUCAA